Long non-coding RNA from Mercenaria mercenaria, 1075 nucleotides. RefSeq lists it as uncharacterized. The record is from RefSeq and is a predicted model, not a curated record. The transcript has 3 exons. Lineage: Eukaryota; Metazoa; Mollusca; Bivalvia; Venerida; Veneridae.
GUAGGCUAAACGUUAACCGUAAACUAGUUGUGAAACUGAUUCAAGGUUGUUUACAUCUAAAAUGCAAGACAGUAAAUUCUCAAAAUUUAUUUUAUGCAUGGGUGUACUACUGUUGUGUGUGCUUAAAAUGUAGAUUAUUACAAAGUAGCUCUAAUUUGAAAUUUUUUGCUGUUGACAGGUUUCCAUGUUGUCUGCUGUUGGAAGAACAUCUAUGAGGGACUGUGAAUAGAAUCUUUAUCUUCUGCUUAUAUACAACACUUACUCAUGGGCCAGUGGCACAAUUUCUAGCUGUACAAGGAUAUCAUGGUGUUUGAUAAGUUGAUGACAAUGAAACUAAUGACCAUGUUAACAUCAGAGGAAAAGCAAACUGGGAGAAGAAAGGACAACAUUGUUUUCGAUCUUGAAGGCAUGCGUAGACAUAGGACCAGGAAGGGGAGCUAGGAGUGGGAGAAGUGCCUGUGACUGAUAUAUGCACUAUCAGAUAGAAAUACAGUUCAAAAGGAAAUCUGAAAUAGUGAAAUAGCAGAAAUCAUGACUUACAUACUGUGUAAUCUGCUCUAAAACACAAACAUUUGAAUUUAAAAUGUGUUAAAUGCAAAACAGUUCUACUUACAAAAUGAAUCUUUCAGUAAAUGUUAAAUGCAGCUGAAAAGUGAUAUACAUGAAAUGUGUGAAAACAGUGCAAGUUAAGUUUGAUUUUUUGUUUUACAUGUAUACAAAACUGAAGAACUUGUAUCCAAUUCAUUUUCUGGAUGCACAGUGUUAUUGGAAUUUUUUUCAGAUAAUUUAAAAUUCUACAAGGUGAAGAUAUUUCAAAUAAUAUCUCGAGAAAAAAAAGUUUGCACAAUGAAUUGUUUUUCAAAAAUUUGCAGUUGUUUGUUCAUUGUUUUGCCAGUCCAUUACACUUAAACUUUACUUUAUUUAUUCUUAAUAUUUUUGUGAAUGGAUUAGAUUACUCAUUCACAAGGCAAAAUCAAGAAUUUGUUGGUUAAGGUUAAUGUUGUCUCAAGCUAAGUGAUGGACAGACUUUUGAGAAUAAUUAAAAUAAUUUGUCACAUAAAUCAAUAUUAAAUGA